Molecule: ribosomal RNA, 100 nt
Filed under: Vibrio alginolyticus
Lineage: Bacteria; Pseudomonadati; Pseudomonadota; Gammaproteobacteria; Vibrionales; Vibrionaceae
Also listed under: 1 other name
Description: partial 16S ribosomal RNA
Rfam family: Bacterial small subunit ribosomal RNA
Source: RNAcentral
UUAAAUUGAAGAGUUUGAUCAUGGCUCAGAUUGAACGCUGGCGGCAGGCCUAACACAUGCAAGUCGAGCGGAAACGAGUUAUCUGAACCUUCGGGGAACG